Molecule: ribosomal RNA, 497 nt
Filed under: uncultured bacterium
Lineage: Bacteria
Description: partial 16S ribosomal RNA
Rfam family: Bacterial small subunit ribosomal RNA
Source: RNAcentral
GAUGAACGCUGGCGGCGUGCCUAAUACAUGCAAGUCGAGCGAACGGACGAGAAGCUUGCUUCUCUGAUGUUAGCGGCGGACGGGUGAGUAACACGUGGAUAACCUACCUAUAAGACUGGGAUAACUUCGGGAAACCGUAGCUAAUACCGGAUAAUAUUUUGAACCGCAUGGUUCAAAAGUGAAAGACGGUCUUGCUGUCACUUAUAGAUGGAUCCGCGCUGCAUUAGCUAGUUGGUAAGGUAACGGCUUACCAAGGCAACGAUGCAUAGCCGACCUGAGAGGGUGAUCGGCCACACUGGAACUGAGACACGGUCCAGACUCCUACGGGAGGCAGCAGUAGGGAAUCUUCCGCAAUGGGCGAAAGCCUGACGGAGCAACGCCGCGUGAGUGAUGAAGGUCUUCGGAUCGUAAAACUCUGUUAUUAGGGAAGAACAUAUGUGUAAGUAACUGUGCACAUCUUGACGGUACCUAAUCAGAAAGCCUCGGCUAACUACGUG